UCGGCGGCUCGUCCAAGUGCUGCAGGCGCAACACCUCCAAGGUAUCCACACGUGCAGGGAGGAAGCGUCGCAAGCCGGACUGCUAGAUCCGCGAGUUGCAACAGGCGAGGGUGUGGGAGGCGCGGCAGAUGUGUUUCGCCAAAAGGUGUAAACCCUAGGGCGCCCCCACCCCUCUAUUUAUAGAGGUUCCUAACGGUCCUCUGGGUCCGAGGCCCAUU
Molecule: long non-coding RNA, 218 nt
Filed under: Setaria italica (foxtail millet)
Lineage: Eukaryota; Viridiplantae; Streptophyta; Magnoliopsida; Poales; Poaceae
Description: long non-coding RNA (SITA_LNC000283)
Source: RNAcentral